RNAcentral lists this unclassified non-coding RNA (338 nucleotides) under soil metagenome. RNAcentral describes it as "partial contains 5.8S ribosomal RNA, internal transcribed spacer 2, and large subunit ribosomal RNA". The stretch from base 1 to 120 matches the Rfam family "5.8S ribosomal RNA", at positions 35 to 154 of the family's 154-position model. The record is from RNAcentral.
GAUGAAGAACGUAGCGAAAUGCGAUAAGUAGUGUGAAUUGCAGAAUUCAGUGAAUCAUCGAAUCUUUGAACGCACAUUGCGCCCCUUGGUAUUCCAUGGGGCAUGCCUGUUCGAGCGUCAUUUGAAACCUCAAGCUCAGCUUGGUGUUGGGUGUCUGUCCCCGCCUCACCGCGGGGACUCGCCUCAAAAUCAUUGGCGGCCGGUACGUUGGCUUCGAGCGCAGCAGAAACGCGAACUCGAGGCCCGGCGGAUCGGCGACCAGAAGUCACUUCUUCACAGUUUGACCUCGGAUCAGGUAGGGAUACCCGCUGAACUUAAGCAUAUCAAUAAGCGGAGGA